GACGAACGCUGGCGGCGUGCUUAACACAUGCAAGUCGAACGGAAAGGCCUUUUCGGAGGUACUCGAGUGGCGAACGGGUGAGUAACACGUGGGUGAUCUGCCCUGCACUCUGGGAUAAGCCUGGGAAACUGGGUCUAAUACCGGAUAGGACCGCACUUUAGUGUGUGUGGUGGAAAGUUUUUUCGGUGUAGGAUGAGCCCGCGGCCUAUCAGCUUGUUGGUGGGGUAAUGGCCUACCAAGGCGGCGACGGGUAGCCGGACUGAGAGGUUGGUCGGCCACAUUGGGACUGAGAUACGGCCCAGACUCCUACGGGAGGCAGCAGUGGGGAAUAUUGCACAAUGGGCGCAAGCCUGAUGCAGCGACGCCGCGUGGGGGAUGACGGCCUUCGGGUUGUAAACUCCUUUCGCCAGGAACGAAGCGUUUUGUGACGGUACCUGGAGAAGAAGCACCGGCUAACUACGUG
Molecule: ribosomal RNA, 463 nt
Filed under: uncultured bacterium
Lineage: Bacteria
Description: partial 16S ribosomal RNA
Rfam family: Bacterial small subunit ribosomal RNA
Source: RNAcentral